AGUAACCUGGCGGUAUCCUACAGCUGACAGUCGUACGAGAGUUUCCACUCAAUUAGCGGACGGGUGAGUAACACGUAAGAAUUUGCCUUUAGGAGGGGGCUAACAACUGGAAACGGUUGCUAAUACCCCAUAUGCUUUCGAGUGAAAUGGAUUUUCCGCCUAGAGAGAAGCUUGCGGCUGAUUAGCUUGUUGGUAAGGUAAUGGCUUACCAAAGCGACGAUCACGUAUCUGGUUUGAGAGGACGAUCAGACACACUGGAACUGAGACACGGUCCAGACUCCUACGGGAGUGCAGCAAGUGGGGCAUUUCCAGAAUGGGCGAAAGCCUGACGGAGCAAUAACGCGUGAGGGAUGACGGCCUAUGGGUUGUAAAGCUCCUUUAUUCACGGAGGACAAAACGUGACGUAGUACCUUGAAGAAUUCAGCAUAAGGUAACUCCGUGACAAGCAACCGCGGGAAACACCGGACGAUGCCAGUGUUAUCCCGGAAAUCACUGGGCGUAAAGCGUCUGUCAGUGGCCCAUACAAUCACUGGAACCUCUUGAGAGCCAACCCUCGACACCGCAAUCACAAACUAUAAGACUAGAAGUAUCCGAAGGCGGACAACGGACUCACCAGUGGGAACCGUGAAAAUGCCGAAAGACUUCGGACGAACACCCC
This 658-nucleotide ribosomal RNA is filed under the name uncultured cyanobacterium. RNAcentral describes it as "bacterial SSU rRNA". It matches the Rfam family "Bacterial small subunit ribosomal RNA", at positions 30 to 712 of the family's 1533-position model. Lineage: Bacteria; Bacillati; Cyanobacteriota. The record is from RNAcentral.